UUGAAUUGGUUUUUGUUCUCACGAGUAUAUUGGCAAAAGCAAAAUCGAAUUCAGAGUCACGAAGAUCAAGUUAUAAUUUUUGAAGUUUGAAGGGCAAAAUUGUAAUUUCUACUUGAGCAGCCUAGGAAUCGAAUGGGUGGAUUGCAUGUGCAAUCCAGCGAUGGGAAGGAAGAGAACUCAAGCUUAGGUUCUCGGUGAAAGUUUUCGAUGAGUUCGAGGUGAAACUCGAAACUGGUGGAAUUCUCCGAUGAUUGUCGAAUCCGAGGUGAUUCGACCCCGAAUCAUUCAAAGUCAGACUUAGAAUCUGGCAAACCUUCGGCGGCGAAACACAGCGAUCACGACGCUCUCCGUUAUUUAACGGUAACGACGAUGGAUUUCGUUAGAUAUAACGGAUCUCUACUGGCAAGGUUAUAUUCUGUUAACCUUCAAUCUGUAAACCGACGACCGGAGCGUGGCCUCGGCCACUUCAACGUGUACUCGCCGAUCGGCGGCGGUGAGUACGGCAGCCCGUAUGCCGGCGAUGUCAAUGACGAUGGCGGCGUGUGCAGUAGUGCGUGAAGUGAUGCGUGAGGACCCGAGACCUAACCCAAGGUGCGCUUGAGUAGCCUAGGCAAAGGCAAAGAGAAACACACAUAAUUUCUGUAAGUGGAUCCCCUUCAAAACUCACCUGCUUUUUUUUUACACUAUUGAUGAAAUUAAAUGCUUUUAAGUAUUCUUGGAUGAGACUUAAAUAGAAAUUGGUUAGAUGACCAUAUAAAUGAUUUACUUAUGUUGGUAAUUUAUUUUCACCGCAUGGUCUGUUAUAUAUCGAGUAUAGAUAUAUGCGGCCAUAGGAUAUUUGCAUGUGAUGCAAUAUUUUUAAUAGAGGUUAGAUAUGCUAGUAGAUGCUAGUUGUGCACAGGUAGACGCUCGUGUACUCAUAUGUGUUGUACUCUUACUAGCUCAAUUGUAGAGAAGCUCGAUUCUUCUUUUUGUGUAGCGAGAUAUGCCUAGAUUCCGAUUACAUCCCUUUUUGUGUAAGUUCCUAGAAUUGAUUUUUUUAACAAUUUUGUCAAUUUAUUUUGAGGGUAUUAGAGAUUAGACAAACAUAACUAUACAUUAAGACCUCGUAAAAGAUUAUUGAAGCGCUCAACAUAUAUUUUGUUCGAUCGUCAAAAGUUUACAAUGAUAAUCAUAAUUUCGGCCAAAAAACUUCAUUGGUCGAGCUCCUAAUUCGUACCUACGGAGGUAGAGUGUCUUGUCGAUUUCUGCCAAGGCUUGUCGAGCGAGACAUAUUAUCAAACGCAACAUGGGGACCAUAAGGUCACACACAAGAAAUAAGGGAAGAAAGACAAAAGAAGAGAAAUAAGUAAAUUUACAAAUAACUAUACAUAGGGUUACACAAAAGAAAUAGCACGUUGAAUAAUUUAGUAUUUUUACUUAUUCUUUUAGUUAAUAUACAUUGAGAUCAUGAAACUAUUAGAGUCAUGAACAACCAAUAACCCAUGUUGAGUUGUUAGGGUAAAAUUGGCUAUUCCUAAACAAAACGUCUGAGUCUGUAAUCUUAGACUAGUACAUAUUUUCCGUUGUAAUUAUUUUAGUCUAAGUUUGUUUCUUGGCUCUCUAUCAUAAAACUGGCAAGCGUUUCAGAGACAUCCACUCAGGUAUGUUUGCAUGCAUGCAUCCAACUACAUCUAUAUCACAUGGUAUUGUAUUUGGGAUAGGACUUUUACUCAUUGUGUGUUUUAUCUUUUUAGAAUGACUUAUCCCAUCUAUAUUAAUUAUUAAAUCAUGUUUUCAAAAGACUUAUCUGAUUGCAUCCAACUAAAUGGAUUGCAUGGGAGUUAUCUAAAUGGUUUGUUGUCCUUAUCAAUUUAUUUGGUGCGGUGCCGUGAGUUAUAUAAGAGAGGUCAGGGAUUUGUUUAAGUGAAGCCGCAUAUGCAUAUAACCUGGUUUCUUUGAUAAAAUAUUUAGAGGCAGCAGCUUGGUGUUUUGAAUAAGGAAAAAUAUUUUUGAUAUUGCUGCUAUCUUGUGGUUUCAACAGCAUGCGGUUUAAAGAGAAAAUAUUAUUUUCAUGCUGUUUUUCAUUUAAGGUUUUAAUUGAAUGUCAAUUAUGAAAAUGUGCCUUGUGAUUUUCAUAAUUGAUUGUUUUUCAAAUAAACACUUCAUCGUAUAAACAUUCUGCAUGAUCGAGUUAGUAUCUUGCAAAGUUCGAGGAAAAGGUGAUUGACGAUCGCGUUAGUGUCGUGCCACUUCAACUCGAAGACUGAAGAGAGAUCGAGUAGCAAAGCGCGGAGACAAAACUGCCUACUAGUAUGCGUGUCUAGUUGAUGAGUUUUGUAAGUCUUUCUGUACUUAUUUCUCUUAGUGUUUGUCCUGGCUUGGAAGCCCGAGGAUUUUCCCAGUGUUGGGUUUUGCCUCGUUAAAUCCUACAUCAUGUGUGCACUUUUUAUUUAUCGUUUUAAUUGCAUAUGAGUAUGAUAGUUUGAUA
Long non-coding RNA from Malus domestica (apple), 2470 nucleotides. RefSeq lists it as uncharacterized. The record is from RefSeq and is a predicted model, not a curated record. NCBI's taxonomy places the organism in Eukaryota, Viridiplantae, Streptophyta, Magnoliopsida, Rosales, Rosaceae.